GACGAACGCUGGCGGCGUGCUUAACACAUGCAAGUCGAACGGUAAGGCUCCAGCUUGCUGGGGUACACGAGUGGCGAACGGGUGAGUAACACGUGGGUGACCUGCCCUGCACUUCGGGAUAAGCCUGGGAAACUGGGUCUAAUACCGGAUAGGACCAUGGUGUGGAUACUGUGGUGGAAAGUUUUUUCGGUGUGGGAUGGGCCCGCGGCCUAUCAGCUUGUUGGUGGGGUAAUGGCCUACCAAGGCGGCGACGGGUAGCCGGCCUGAGAGGGUGGACGGCCACAUUGGGACUGAGACACGGCCCAGACUCCUACGGGAGGCAGCAGUGGGGAAUAUUGCACAAUGGGCGGAAGCCUGAUGCAGCGACGCCGCGUGGGGGAUGACGGCCUUCGGGUUGUAAACUCCUUUCACCAUCGACGAAGGGUUUCUGACGGUAGAUGGAGAAGAAGCACCGGCUAACUACG
Molecule: ribosomal RNA, 464 nt
Filed under: uncultured bacterium
Lineage: Bacteria
Description: partial 16S ribosomal RNA
Rfam family: Bacterial small subunit ribosomal RNA
Source: RNAcentral